RNAcentral lists this unclassified non-coding RNA (433 nucleotides) under soil metagenome. RNAcentral's name for it is "partial contains 5.8S ribosomal RNA, internal transcribed spacer 2, and large subunit ribosomal RNA". The stretch from base 1 to 120 matches the Rfam family "5.8S ribosomal RNA", at positions 35 to 154 of the family's 154-position model. The record is from RNAcentral.
GAUGAAGAACGUAGCGAAAUGCGAUACGUAAUGUGAAUUGCAGAAUUCAGUGAAUCAUCGAAUCUUUGAACGCAUAUUGCGCUCUCUGGUAUUCCGGAGAGCAUGCUUGUUUGAGUAUCAGUAAACACCUCAACUCCCCUUUCUUUUUUUGAAAUGGGAGCUGGACUUGAGUGAUCCCAACGCUUUUCUCACCGAAAAGUGGCGGGUUACUUGAAAUGCAGGUGCAGCUGGACUUUUCUCUGAGCUAAAAGCAUAUCUAUUUAGUCUGCCUAAAAAACAGAUUAUUACCUUUGCUGCAGCUAACAUAAAGGAGAUUAGUUCUUGUGCUGACUGAUGCAGGAUUCACAGAGACAGCUUCAGCUGGCCUUUGUAAACUCGAUCUCAAAUCAAGUAAGACUACCCGCUGAACUUAAGCAUAUCAAUAAGCGGAGGA